Molecule: ribosomal RNA, 942 nt
Filed under: Peribacillus simplex
Lineage: Bacteria; Bacillati; Bacillota; Bacilli; Caryophanales; Bacillaceae
Description: Bacillus simplex partial 16S ribosomal RNA
Rfam family: Bacterial small subunit ribosomal RNA
Source: RNAcentral
UCUUGCGUAUACUGCAGUCGAGCGAAUCGACGGGAGCUUGCUCCNUGAGAUUANCGGCGGACGGGUGAGUAACANGNGGGCAACCUGCCUAUAAGACUGGGAUAACUUCGGGAAACCGGAGCUAAUACCGGAUACGUUCUUUUCUCGCAUGANAGAAGAUGGAAAGACGGUUUACGCUGUCNCUUAUNGAUGGGCCCGCGGCGCAUUAGCUAGUUGGUGAGGUAAUGGCUCACCAAGGCGACGAUGCGUANCCGACCUGAGAGGGUGAUCGGCCACACUGGGACUGANACACGGCCCAGACUCCUACGGGAGGCAGCAGUAGGGAAUCUUCCGCAAUGGACGAAAGUCUGACGGAGCAACGCCGCGUGAACGAAGAAGGCCUUCGGGUCNUAAAGUUCUGUUGUUAGGGAANAACANGUNCCANAGUAACUGCUGGUACCUUGACGGNACCUAACCAGAAAGCCACGGNUAACUACNUGCCAGCANCCGCGGUAAUACNUAGGUGGCAAGCGUUGUCCGGAAUUAUUGGGCGUAAAGCGCGCGCAGGUGGUUCCUUANNUCUGAUGUGAAAGCCCACGGCUCAACCGUGGAGGGUCAUUGGAAACUGGGGNACUUGAGUGCAGAAGAGGAAAGUGGAAUUCCAANUGUAGCGGUGAAAUGCGUAGAGAUUUGGAGGAACACCAGUGGCGAAGGCGACUUUCUGGUCUGUAACUGACACUGAGGCGCGAAAGCGUGNGGAGCAAACAGGAUUANAUACCCUGGUAGUCCACGCCGUAAACNAUGAGUGCUAAGUGUUAGAGGGUUUCCGCCCUUUAGUGCUGCAGCUAACGCAUUANGCANUCCGNCUGGGGAGUACGGCCGCNAGGCUGAAACUCAAUGAAUUGACGGNNNCCCGCACANNCGGUNGAGCAUGUGNUUUAAUUCGAAGCAACGCGAAGAUCU